This 482-nucleotide ribosomal RNA is filed under the name uncultured bacterium. RNAcentral describes it as "partial 16S ribosomal RNA". It matches the Rfam family "Bacterial small subunit ribosomal RNA", at positions 29 to 507 of the family's 1533-position model. The record is from RNAcentral.
ACGAACGCUGGCGGCGUGCUUAACACAUGCAAGUCGAACGAUGAAGCGGGUGCUUGCACUCGUGGAUUAGUGGCGAACGGGCGAGUAACACGUGAGUAACCUGUCCUUUUCUUUGGGAUAACGGCUGGAAACGGCUGCUAAUACUGGAUAUUCAGGCUGCAUCGCAUGGUGUGGUUUGGAAAGGUUUUUUCUGGGAUUGGGUGGGCUCGCGGCCUAUCAGCUUGUUGGUGGGGUGAUGGCUUACCAAGGCUUUGACGGGUAGCCGGCCUGAGAGGGUGGUCGGUCGCACUGGGACUGAGAUACGGCCCAGACUCCUACGGGAGGCAGCAGUGGGGAAUAAUGCACAAUGGACGAAAGUUUGAUGCAGCGACGCCGCGUGGAGGGUGUAGGCCUUCGGGUUGUGAACUCCUUUUUCUCGCGAAAAAGGCACAGUUUUGGCUGUGUUGAUGGUAGUGGGGGAAGAAGCGCCGGCUAACUACGUG